AACAGCCAAUCCCUUGGGGUAGAGUCAGAUAUCUCUGGAAUUAAUAGGAUCCAACGCCCAUUAAACGCCUUUUGAGCGCCGGACGUCUGGACUCAUAUUCCACAUUAGCCAGUAAAACAAGCAAUAAGCGCAACUAAUACAGAAGGCAUUCUAGUAACCUAAACUCAACCACCUAAAACGACCAAGUAAACCACAACAAUUCUAUCCCAUCCUCAGAAAUACAGUUCACUACUCAGACAUAAUCAAAGACAAUAGCAAAGCAACGAUUGAAAACAUGAUAACAGAAAUGACGAAAGACUUAAACGAAAACUGAAUAUCAAAUACUUGAAAGUGAAAAUACAAAGUCGCAGGAGAAACACUGCGGCUAUGAAAGUUGCAAAAAAGA
This 385-nucleotide small RNA is filed under the name Arabidopsis thaliana (thale cress). RNAcentral's name for it is "ATSL268180". Lineage: Eukaryota; Viridiplantae; Streptophyta; Magnoliopsida; Brassicales; Brassicaceae. The record is from RNAcentral.